This 468-nucleotide ribosomal RNA is filed under the name uncultured bacterium. RNAcentral describes it as "partial 16S ribosomal RNA". It matches the Rfam family "Bacterial small subunit ribosomal RNA", at positions 28 to 507 of the family's 1533-position model. The record is from RNAcentral.
GACGAACGCUGGCGGCGUGCUUAACACAUGCAAGUCGAACGGAAAGGCCCUGCUUUUGUGGGGUGCUCGAGUGGCGAACGGGUGAGUAACACGUGAGUAACCUGCCCUUGACUUUGGGAUAACUCCAGGAAACAGGGGCUAAUAUCGGAUAGGAGCUCCUGCUGCAUGGUGGGGGUUGGAAAGUUUCGGCGGUUGUGGAUGGACUCGCGGCUUAUCAGCUUGUUGGUGGGGUAGUGGCUUACCAAGGCUUUGACGGGUAGCCGGCCUGAGAGGGUGACCGGCCACAUUGGGACUGAGGGACGGCGCAGAAGCCUACGGGAGGCAGCAGUGGGGAAUAUUGCACAGUGGGCGGACGCCUGAUGCAGCAGCGCCGCGUGCGGAAUGACGGCCUUCGGGUUGUAAACCGCUUUCGCCGGUGACGAAGCGUGCGUGACGGUAAUGGGUAAAGAAGCACCGGCUAACUACGUG